GGCAGAGAACUGACUUGAGCGUCGGAGGGUCUUGCCGGAGCAACCCCACCUCCGGUUUAGACUUCCCUUGCAGGUCCCGGCGGCGACCGCGGCUUCCCCGACUCCAGCUUCUCCGGCGCAAGCAGAUUUUUGCACCAACAGUAUCUAUUGAAUUCAAAUAGAUCUACAAAGGAAAAAGCUAUAAAAGUAAAGACCUUUAAAGCAAGCAUCUCGGAAUAAAAAUACUCGAUAUGAUCAAAUGGUUUGAUCUCAUCAAGAAUAGAAGGAAACAUGUGUGUAUAAGAAGGAUCGGUGGGAGCGUUGUUAUAUUCCUCGUAUUGUACGUUAGAUUUCAUCCUCCUGAUUGAGAAUAUUGUUCCUAUACUAACUAUGGUUAGAAUAUGGUUGUUUCAAGAAAUUCUUUAAAAGAGAUCUUUGGAAACAUCCUAGAUAAGUCUAUGAGAUAGAUAUAAGUCUAUGAGAUAGAUCUAUUAGGAUGCUAGUUUCACAGAAGAUGUACAUAGAAUAGAUGCUGAAAGGGUUCAGCAUGAAAAAUCCUAAAAUGAUUUCUAUCCCUUGGAUAUGGGAUUAAUCUAUCCAAAAAGAUGUGGGGGACACAUAUGUAGAGAUAUAGUACAUGAGCUAGAUUUUUUAUGCUAUAACUAGUGGGAGCCUCAUGUAUACUAUGUACAUGAUCCGAUAUAUUUUUGCUGUGAGUGUCACGAGCAAAUAUCGAUUAAAUCUAGACUGAGAGUACUGGAUACCUGUGAAAAUAUUUCUAAAUACGUGAAAAGUACUUAAGAUAUGUUUAUAGUCUUUAAGGAGAAUCAAAGUUAAGGAUAAAAAGAUAUAAUAAAUCAGAUUUUAUGUCUGAUGUUGAUGGUAGAGAGUCUACAUAAAGAAAGGUGUUUCCUUAUGUAAUGUAAAUUUAGUAAAUUGGAAGAGUUUCAAACAACCGAUGAUUGUAAAUUCUAGAAGUUGUGUGUCGCUACUUAUGAAGUUGCUAGGAAAACCUUUUGGAAAAUCUUCUAGUUAAAAAGAGUUUGUUACAAAACUGGUUUGAUGUCAUCAGAUGGCAUAAUACUAUACUAUAACAACAAAGAUGUCACUGCUUUAGCUGAGAAGCAUAGGUCUCACCAAAAUUUUUAGUACAUAAGAGCAAUAAUUGAUUAUUCAUGACUAUUUCCAGAAGUAAGACUUCGAGAAUUAGAGUAGACUCCAUGAAAAUAUGGUGGACCCACAGACUAAAUCAUCUUACCAGUAGAGGAUAAAAGUAUAUCUUAAGAAGAUGGGACUUAUAUCUAUGGUAGAUUGACUUUAGUACAAGUGAAAGAUUUUAAGAUGUAUACCUUAGAAGCCAAUCGGACUGAUACAUUAAUUCUUUCUAGGAUAUAAUUUUGUACUUGAUCUAAUUAUUUAAGAUAGUUAAUUAUCAUUCAUAUAGUGUACGUGUCUAUGAAUCAUCUACAGAAUUAACAAGAUGAUGACACGUAUUCUCAAAAAUUGAAAAUUUGAGGCAUGUGUCAUUGAUGGUUAAUUUAAAAACUGCUUCCAACCGUAGGAUCAUCACGGAGAUGGUGAUUGAUCCAAAUAGGUUGAUGCAUAAAUCACUUCCUUAUGGAUCGAUGAGUCUUGAGUCUAUAAUGUGGGAACACUGAAGCGAAAGUAUAAGUAUUUAUCAGAGAACAAAAAUACCAACCAUGACUAACACGAG
RNAcentral lists this long non-coding RNA (1693 nucleotides) under Elaeis guineensis (African oil palm). RNAcentral describes it as "long non-coding RNA (EGUI_LNC024213)". The record is from RNAcentral. Lineage: Eukaryota; Viridiplantae; Streptophyta; Magnoliopsida; Arecales; Arecaceae.